GCAGUCGAGGGGCAGCAUGAUCUUAGCUUGCUAAGGUUGAUGGCGACCGGCGCACGGGUGCGUAACGCGUAUGCAACUUGCCUUACAGAGGGGGAUAACCCGUUGAAAGACGGACUAAAACCGCAUACACUUGUAUUAUUGCAUGAUAUUACAAGGAAAUAUUUAUAGCUGUAAGAUAGGCAUGCGUCCCAUUAGCUUGUUGGUGAGGUAACGGCUCACCAAGGCGACGAUGGGUAGGGGAACUGAGAGGUUUAUCCCCCACACUGGUACUGAGACACGGACCAGACUCCUACGGGAGGCAGCAGUGAGGAAUAUUGGUCAAUGGGCGAGAGCCUGAACCAGCCAAGUCGCGUGAAGGAAGACAGUCCUAAGGAUUGUAAACUUCUUUUAUACGGGAAUAACGGGCGAUACGAGUAUUGCAUUGAAUGUACCGUAAGAAUAAGCAUCGGCUAACUCCGUGCCAGCAGCCGCGGUAAUACGGAGGAUGCGAGCGUUAUCCGGAUUUAUUGGGUUUAAAGGGUGCGUAGGUUGUUCGGUAAGUCAGCGGUGAAACCUGAACGCUCAACGUUCAGCCUGCCGUUGAAACUGCCGGGCUUGAGUUCAGUGGCGGCAGGCGGAAUUCGUGGUGUAGCGGUGAAAUGCAUAGAUAUCACGAGGAACUCCGAUUGCGAAGGCAGCUUGCCAUACUGCGACUGACACU
Molecule: ribosomal RNA, 700 nt
Filed under: Porphyromonas gingivalis
Lineage: Bacteria; Pseudomonadati; Bacteroidota; Bacteroidia; Bacteroidales; Porphyromonadaceae
Description: bacterial SSU rRNA
Rfam family: Bacterial small subunit ribosomal RNA
Source: RNAcentral